RNAcentral lists this unclassified non-coding RNA (391 nucleotides) under soil metagenome. Its description in RNAcentral is "partial contains 5.8S ribosomal RNA, internal transcribed spacer 2, and large subunit ribosomal RNA". The stretch from base 1 to 122 matches the Rfam family "5.8S ribosomal RNA", at positions 35 to 154 of the family's 154-position model. The record is from RNAcentral.
GAUGAAGAACGCAGCGAAAUGCGAUAAGUAGUGUGAAUUGCAGAAUCCCGUGAACCAUCGAGUCUUUGAACGCAAGUUGCGCCCGAAGCCAUUAGGCCGAGGGCACGCCUGCCUGGGCGUCACACGUCGUUGCCCCCCCAUCUACUCCUUCGGGAUUGCGGGGGGCGGAUGAUGGCCUCCCGUGCGCCUCGUCGCGCGGUUGGCAUAAAUGCCAAGUCCUCGGCGACGCACGCCACGACAAUCGGUGGUUGCGAAACCUCGGUUGCCCGUCGUGUGCGGUCGUCGCGCAUCGAGGGCUCGAAAAAAUUGUCGGGCUCCGGCUCGACUUUCAACGCGACCCCAGGUCAGGCGGGGUUACCCGCUGAAUUUAAGCAUAUCAAUAAGCGGAGGA